Molecule: ribosomal RNA, 443 nt
Filed under: uncultured bacterium
Lineage: Bacteria
Description: bacterial SSU rRNA
Rfam family: Bacterial small subunit ribosomal RNA
Source: RNAcentral
GGAUUUAUACAAUUCGUGGAACAUGUGGUUUAAUUCGUAAAUACACGCAAAACCUUACCAACUUUUGAAUAGUUUUAUAUUCUAAUAAAGAAAUUUGUUAUGUUAAAAACUACAGGUGCUGCAUGGCUGUCGUCAGCUCGUGUCUUGAGAUGUUAGGUUAAGUCCAGUAACGAGCGAAACCCUUUUCUUUGUUGCAAAAGAUGUUUUAUUCAAUUGAAUCAAUUAAAUUGCAUCUUUGUACUUAAAGAGUAUUGCCUAUGAUAUAUAGGAUGAAAGAAAGGAUGACGUCAAGUCUUCAUGGCCCUUAUGAGUUGGGCUACACAUGUGUUACAACGGUAACAACAAUAAGUUGCAUAAAUGAAAAUUGAAGCAAAUCUAUAAAAGUUACCUUAGUUCGGAUUGUUUUCUGUAACUCGAAAACAUGAAGUUGGAAUGAAUAGUAA